CUCUUCAACCUCAGGACUUGCAGAAUUAAUGGAAUGCCGUCCUAAGGUUGUUGAGUU
This is a microRNA precursor of Castor canadensis (American beaver), 57 nucleotides long. NCBI's taxonomy places the organism in Eukaryota, Metazoa, Chordata, Mammalia, Rodentia, Castoridae. The record is from Ensembl.